This 482-nucleotide ribosomal RNA is filed under the name uncultured bacterium. RNAcentral's name for it is "partial 16S ribosomal RNA". It matches the Rfam family "Bacterial small subunit ribosomal RNA", at positions 30 to 507 of the family's 1533-position model. The record is from RNAcentral.
AUUGAACGCUGGCGGCAUGCCUUACACAUGCAAGUCGAACGGUAACGGUCCUUCGUUUUACGGCGUGGGUCGACCGGGUGCGGAAUACUUCGGAACGUGCCCGCUCCUGGGGGGUAACGGGCCGAAAGCUUUGCUAAUAGCUCAUACGGUCUACGGACUAAAGCAGCGGACCGCAAGGCCUUGCGCUGCCGUAGCGUCCGAUGGCAGUUUAGGUAGUUGGUGGGAUAAAAGCUUACCAAGACGACGAUCUGUAGCUGGUCUGAGAGGAUGAUCAGACACACUGGGACUGAGACACGGCCCAGACUCCUACGGGAGGCAGCAGUGGGGAAUGUUGGACAAUGGGCGCAAGCCUGAUCCAGCAAUGCCGCGUGCAGGAUGAAGGCCUUCGGGUUGUAAACUGCUUUUGUACGGAACGAAAAGCCUUCUUUUAAUACAGGAGGGUCAUGACGGUACUGUAAGAAUAAGCACCGGCUAACUACGUG